RNA transcript from Trematomus bernacchii (emerald rockcod), 2608 nucleotides. It is a transcript of the gene named carcinoembryonic antigen-related cell adhesion molecule 1-like, with no coding region annotated. Lineage: Eukaryota; Metazoa; Chordata; Actinopteri; Perciformes; Nototheniidae. The record is from RefSeq and is a predicted model, not a curated record. The transcript has 7 exons.
UUAAAUUAAACUGCAGUAAGAAGAAGACAAAGCUGAGAUCUCACAUCCUGUUUCUGUCACUUUGUUGGUGUGCACAAUGACUUCCAGCAGAUCCCCCCUCGUUCUUCUGUGGUUCAUUCACAUGACAAUCCCAGGUUUAACUGAAGGAGCUGGUGUGUUGCCAGACGGUCCUCUGAAUGCAGCUGUGGGAGAAACAGUGAUGUUCACCACAAAUCUGACUCCAGGAAAAACUAUUCAAUCAUUGGUCUGGAAGUUUGGUUCUAAAGAAAUAUUUACAUUCUUUCGUAGCAACUUCCCUGCACCAGAGUAUGAAGGCAGGAUCACCUUCUUCAUGUCUACUGGAUCUCUGGAGCUCAGGAACCUGGCUCUAACUGACAGUGGAAGAUACUCAGUUAACAUGUUAAUAGCUGGAGGAGGAUCACAGUCAAGGGACACAAGACUGGACGUAUACGAGCCAGUCUCUAAUGUAAUGGUAACCUCCAGCAGCACAGAGCUGGUGGAGUUCAACAGCUCCGUCAGUCUGUCCUGCUCCUCCUCUGGAUCCUCUCUCUCUUUCCUCUGGCUGAACAGCAGCUCUGAGGUUACAGGAAGUGACAGAGUUCAGAUCACUGAUGGAGGAUCCACUUUAACUAUAAAUAAUGUGACCCGCUACGACCAGGGACCAUUCAGCUGUCUUGUAUCUAAUCCAGUCAGUGAGGGAACCAGUGAUGCACUAAUCCUCACCAUCAACUUUCUUGAGGCACAACAAGUCAAAGUGGAGCCUGAAGUGACGGGAUACCUCGGAAAGGAGGUCACCCUGCGAUGCCAAUACAUCCCGGGACCAGAAGAUGACAUAAUCUCCCAGGUUCAGUGGGAGCUGAAGACACCAGAAGGAGAGGAUAUCCUCAUCAUUGUUUCUAAUGCUAACUCAGGAGUUAGUGUCCAGGACACUUUUCUGAAGGGCAGAGUGAAGAUUGCAGAACAAUCUUUGAUCAUUCAAGAUGUUGAAAUGAGAGAUGCAGGGUCGUACACAUGCAUCGUUACAGCUUUUCCCAGCGGUGUGUUUGAAGGAACCACCCAACUUGUUGUUAAAGAAGGGCUGGGUUCAGAAGGGCUGCCCAUAUUAGCAAAAAUAAUCACUGCAGGAGUAUUUGUGCUGAUAGUAGGGACCAUGCUGGCCACCACUUUCUUCAUCAUCAGAAAAAGAUACGGUCCAGUGCCAAGUGAUUGAACAAGAGGAGGUGAGCUGGGAGAUGGUUUCAGGCAGUGGCGACUCGUCAUUAGGGGCAGGUGCAAAGCCCCACCUAGUGUCAGCAGAAAGUAAUGAAAAUAAUAAUUCCAAAAAUAUGCAAAAAACAUAUCUUAAAAUAUAUUUUAAGAUCAUGUUUAGUCAUCUGAUUUGUCUGUACAUUACUGUUUUAGUCUGCGUUCUUCUAAUUAGUGUCAACAGUGUGCCUAUUGAGCGAUGUGGGGCAAGCCCCUCUCUCUGCUGUCAAAAUGAAUGGGUGCUGUAAAAACUACACUGCGCAUGCUCAGAGUAUUUUUCUAUUCAAUGUGUGCGGCAAAAAAUGUAUCACCAGUGGGGCAUAGUGCUGGCAACCCCACCAAACGUCAUUAGCUGAGUCAAUAUCACUAUAAAGUAACUUUGGUGUCCCCAUCAGAAUCACUCAGACAUCAUGAAAAUGUAGCAGAAUAAUUAAACUCUGAGGUCUUAUUAUAAAUGGCCAAACAUUUACACACAUAUCAGUACAAUGAUAAGUCUCUUGAAAUGUGUUUUUCAUUUUAUACCGUAUUUUUUCAUUGGAUGCAUGUGAUUUUAGCAUGUCCCACACACUGCUCUGCUAACUACAGUGUGUGUAAUAAGUGGUUAAAUGAUACUACAUUUUAAAAAUAGUUAUAUGGUUUUAUUAUCCACAACGAGUUAUUUGAUAAAACGAGUCAUUUUGAUCAUGUAUAUUCUAUUUUCAUAAUAAUAUUGAACAUUUUGCAUGUGUCCCUGUCAUUAUGGGGUAACUGCCCCUACAGUAUAGUAUAUAACUUAUAUUUCGUGUGUGUGUGUGUGUGUGUGUGUGUGUGUGUGUGUGUGUGUGUGUGUGUGUGUGUGUGUGUGUGUGUGUGUGUGUGUGUGUGUGUGUGUGUGUGUGUGUGUGUGUGUGUGUGUGUGUGGUCUAUAUUAUGUAGGAGUAUACAACAUGAGGUGUUGAAACGUUCUCCAUGACUAAGAGGUUUACAACAUGAGGUAUAGAGAAUAAAUCAGCAUUAAAGUGAACAUUUAAGAAAGAAUAACAACAUCUUUAUCCUCUACAGUCGUACUGCAGACUAUAUUAAACUCGCUGUACUCAGUCUAGUCAAACUCUGAGGAGAAGCUGCCAUUCAGGGGUUUAUCAAAGCACAAACUUUAAUUCAUCAGCUCUUAAAGAAGUGGAAGAAAAUUCCCUUUAAAAAUCAGGAAGUAAUAUCGUGACAACUGAUAACUAUUAAUUGCACAGAGAAGAGGUUUUGCAACGCACCUGCACUGGUGAACAAAAGCCACUACUUCCUAUUAUUUGUAUUUCUAAAGAACAACUUUUUAAAAAAAAAGGUUAUUUCUCCGAGUUAGAGUUCCUUGUUUGUCGGUCUUUCAGAUACG